UGGGGAAUAUUGGGGGCAAUGGGGGCGAAAGCCUGACCCAGCAGCGCCACGUGUGGUGCGUUGCGUGUACCUUUCGAAUAAGCAUCGGCUAAUUCCGUGCCAGCAGCCGCGGUAAUACGGAAGAUGCGAGCGUUAUCCGGAUUUAUUGGGUUUAAAGGGAGCGUAGGCGGGCUGUUAAGUCAGCGGUCAAAUGUCAGGGCCCAACCUUGGCAUGCCGUUGAUACUGGCGGCCUUGAGUUCACACAAGGAAGGUGGAAUUCGUCGUGUAGCGGUGAAAUGCUUAGAUAUGACGAAGAACUCCGAUUGCGAAGGCAGCCUUCUGGGGUGUUACUGACGCUGAGGCUCGAAAGUGCGGGAAUCAAACGGGAUUAGAUACCCUGGUAGU
RNAcentral lists this ribosomal RNA (385 nucleotides) under uncultured Paraprevotella sp. Its description in RNAcentral is "bacterial SSU rRNA". It matches the Rfam family "Bacterial small subunit ribosomal RNA", at positions 355 to 794 of the family's 1533-position model. Lineage: Bacteria; Pseudomonadati; Bacteroidota; Bacteroidia; Bacteroidales; Prevotellaceae. The record is from RNAcentral.